This 640-nucleotide ribosomal RNA is filed under the name Vibrio sp. RNAcentral's name for it is "bacterial SSU rRNA". It matches the Rfam family "Bacterial small subunit ribosomal RNA", at positions 70 to 703 of the family's 1533-position model. Lineage: Bacteria; Pseudomonadati; Pseudomonadota; Gammaproteobacteria; Vibrionales; Vibrionaceae. The record is from RNAcentral.
ACGAGAAUAGCUUGCUAUUCGGCGUCGAGCGGCGGACGGGUGAGUAAUGCCUGGGAAAUUGCCCUGAUGUGGGGGAUAACCAUUGGAAACGAUGGCUAAUACCGCAUAAUGCCUUCGGGCCAAAGAGGGGGACCUUCGGGCCUCUCGCGUCAGGAUAUGCCCAGGUGGGAUUAGCUAGUUGGUGAGGUAAAGGCUCACCAAGGCGACGAUCCCUAGCUGGUCUGAGAGGAUGAUCAGCCACACUGGAACUGAGACACGGUCCAGACUCCUACGGGAGGCAGCAGUGGGGAAUAUUGCACAAUGGGCGCAAGCCUGAUGCAGCCAUGCCGCGUGUAUGAAGAAGGCCUUCGGGUUGUAAAGUACUUUCAGCAGUGAGGAAGGGUGUGAAGUUAAUAGCUUCAUAUCUUGACGUUAGCUGCAGAAGAAGCACCGGCUAACUCCGUGCCAGCAGCCGCGGUAAUACGGAGGGUGCGAGCGUUAAUCGGAAUUACUGGGCGUAAAGCGCAUGCAGGUGGUUUGUUAAGUCAGAUGUGAAAGCCCGGGGCUCAACCUCGGAACCGCAUUUGAAACUGGCAGGCUAGAGUACUGUAGAGGGGGGUAGAAUUUCAGGUGUAGCGGUGAAAUGCGUAGAGAUCUGAAG